Molecule: RNase P RNA, 275 nt
Filed under: Actinomycetota bacterium
Lineage: Bacteria; Bacillati; Actinomycetota
Description: Actinobacteria bacterium RNase P RNA component class A
Rfam family: Bacterial RNase P class A
About the family: Ribonuclease P (RNase P) is a ubiquitous endoribonuclease, found in archaea, bacteria and eukarya as well as chloroplasts and mitochondria. Its best characterised activity is the generation of mature 5'-ends of tRNAs by cleaving the 5'-leader elements of precursor-tRNAs. Cellular RNase Ps are ribonucleoproteins.
Source: RNAcentral
GGAGCAGGCCGGGUGACCGCGGCUCGCAGGAGCUGAGGAAAGUCCGGACUCCNNNNNNNNNNAAGAGCUCACCAGCGCAUCGGGCGACCGGUGCGGCUAGGCAAACCCCGUCCGGAGCAAGACCAAGCAGGAGGCAGGGGCGGCCCGUCCGCCCGGUGCGCCGGGCACCUCCGGGUAGGUCGCAAGAGGCGAGCGGCGACGCUCGUCGCAGAUGGAUGGUCACCGCCGUCACCCCGGUGGCGGCACAGGAUCCGGCUUACAGGCCAGCUCCGUAG